GGGGAAUUAGGGUUCGAUUCCGGAGAGGGAGCCUGAGAAACGGCUACCACAUCUAAGGAAGGCAGCAGGCGCGCAAAUUACCCAAUCCUAAUACAGGGAGGUAGUGACAAGAAAUAACAAUACAGGACUUUACGGUUUUGUAAUUGGAAUGAGUUAAGUAUAAACCCCUUUACAAGUAUCAAUUGGAGGGCAAGUCUGGUGCCAGCAGCCGCGGUAAUUCCAGCUCCAAUAGCGUAUAUUAAAGUUGUUGCAGUUAAAAAGCUCGUAGUUGGAUUUCUGUUAAUACCUUAUAUAUAAUAUUUUUUUUUUAAAUAUUAAUAUGUAAGAUUAACAUAAUUCAUAUUUUUUAAGACUGAAUUUUUAGUUUUGAUAAUAUGAAAUUUUACUUUGAGAAAAUUAGAGUGCUUAAAGCAGGCUUUUGCCUUGAAUACUCCAGCAUGGAAUAAUAAUAAAAGAUUUUUAUCUUUUUUUUAUUGGUUCUAAGAUAAAAAUAAUGAUUAAUA
This 503-nucleotide ribosomal RNA is filed under the name Cryptosporidium felis. RNAcentral's name for it is "partial small subunit of ribosomal RNA". It matches the Rfam family "Eukaryotic small subunit ribosomal RNA", at positions 364 to 874 of the family's 1831-position model. The record is from RNAcentral. Lineage: Eukaryota; Apicomplexa; Conoidasida; Eucoccidiorida; Cryptosporidiidae.